AGGGGGUGCCUUUCAGGCAUCCUCUCCCAAAACUUCCAAGGGUCGGCGCAAGUCGGCCCUUUUUUUGUCUGCC
This 73-nucleotide small RNA is filed under the name Novosphingobium hassiacum. Its description in RNAcentral is "suhB". It matches the Rfam family "Makes More Granules Regulator RNA (mmgR)". Rfam says of the family: SuhB later renamed mmgR (makes more granules regulator) was a putative non-coding RNA found multiple times in the Agrobacterium tumefaciens genome and related alpha-proteobacteria. Lineage: Bacteria; Pseudomonadati; Pseudomonadota; Alphaproteobacteria; Sphingomonadales; Sphingomonadaceae. The record is from RNAcentral.